CCCUUAGAUGUUCUGGGCCGCACGCGCGCUACACUGACGAAUGCAACGAGCUUAUAACCUUGGCCGAAAGGUCUGGGUAAUCUCCAAAUUUCGUCGUGAUGGGGAUAGAUUAUUGCAAUUAUUAAUCUUCAACGAGGAAUGCCUAGUAAGCGCAAGUCAUCAGCUUGCGUUGAUUACGUCCCUGCCCUUUGUACACACCGCCCGUCGCUCCUACCGAUUGAAUGGUCCGGUGAAGCGUUCGGACCGCGACAAGGCGGACGGUUCGCUGUCAGCUUUGCUGCGGGAAGUUCAUUAAACCUUAUCAUUUAGAGGAAGGAGAAGUCGUAACA
RNAcentral lists this ribosomal RNA (329 nucleotides) under uncultured eukaryote. RNAcentral describes it as "partial 18S ribosomal RNA". It matches the Rfam family "Eukaryotic small subunit ribosomal RNA", at positions 1470 to 1796 of the family's 1831-position model. The record is from RNAcentral.